UUCCAAAGUGUUGAGUUCAGUUCAGGGCAGCUUCCCUGUUCUGUUAAUUAAACUUUGGAACAUUGAAAGGGGCUAGGAGACACAAGUGGACAGAGAAUAUCAUUCUAUUCAUGUCUCCCCAGCCUACAACA
This is a small nucleolar RNA of Ochotona princeps (American pika), 131 nucleotides long. Lineage: Eukaryota; Metazoa; Chordata; Mammalia; Lagomorpha; Ochotonidae. The record is from Ensembl.